Molecule: ribosomal RNA, 466 nt
Filed under: Vreelandella stevensii
Lineage: Bacteria; Pseudomonadati; Pseudomonadota; Gammaproteobacteria; Oceanospirillales; Halomonadaceae
Description: partial 16S ribosomal RNA
Rfam family: Bacterial small subunit ribosomal RNA
Source: RNAcentral
CCUACGUGUAGGCAGCAGUGGGGAAUAUUGGACAAUGGGCGAAAGCCUGAUCCAGCCAUGCCGCGUGUGUGAAGAAGGCCUUCGGGUUGUAAAGCACUUUCAGUGGGGAAGAAAGCCUUGGGGCUAAUACCCUCGAGGAAGGACAUCACCCACAGAAGAAGCACCGGCUAACUCCGUGCCAGCAGCCGCGGUAAUACGGAGGGUGCGAGCGUUAAUCGGAAUUACUGGGCGUAAAGCGCGCGUAGGCGGUCUGAUAAGCCGGUUGUGAAAGCCCCGGGCUCAACCUGGGAACGGCAUCCGGAACUGUCAGGCUAGAGUGCAGGAGAGGAAGGUAGAAUUCCCGGUGUAGCGGUGAAAUGCGUAGAGAUCGGGAGGAAUACCAGUGGCGAAGGCGGCCUUCUGGACUGACACUGACGCUGAGGUGCGAAAGCGUGGGUAGCAAACAGGAUUAGAUACCCUUGUAGUC